AGUGAACGCUGGCGGUAGGCCUAACACAUGCAAGUCGAACGGCAGCACAGUAAGAGCUUGCUCUUACGGGUGGCGAGUGGCGGACGGGUGAGGAAUACAUCGGAAUCUACUUUUUCGUGGGGGAUAACGUAGGGAAACUUACGCUAAUACCGCAUACGACCUACGGGUGAAAGCAGGGGAUCUUCGGACCUUGCGCGAUUGAAUGAGCUGAUGUCGGAUUAGCUAGUUGGCGGGGUAAAGGCCCACCAAGGCGACGAUCCGUAGCUGGUCUGAGAGGAUGAUCAGCCACACUGGAACUGAGACACGGUCCAGACUCCUACGGGAGGCAGGAGUGGGGAAUAUUGGACAAUGGGCGCAAGCCUGAUCCAGCCAUACCGCGUGGGUGAAGAAGGCCUUCGGGUUGUAAAGCCCUUUUGUUGGGAAAGAAAAGCAGCAGGUUAAUACCCCGCUGUUCUGACGGUACCCAAAGAAUAAGCACCGGCUAACUUCGUG
This 492-nucleotide ribosomal RNA is filed under the name uncultured bacterium. RNAcentral describes it as "partial 16S ribosomal RNA". It matches the Rfam family "Bacterial small subunit ribosomal RNA", at positions 29 to 507 of the family's 1533-position model. The record is from RNAcentral.